This is a long non-coding RNA of Photinus pyralis (common eastern firefly), 531 nucleotides long. RefSeq lists it as uncharacterized. NCBI's taxonomy places the organism in Eukaryota, Metazoa, Arthropoda, Insecta, Coleoptera, Lampyridae. The record is from RefSeq and is a predicted model, not a curated record. The transcript has 2 exons.
GCAAGGGUGUCUCUACGUGGAUGCAGGAUUCGAUGAAUACCGUUCCACAAUUGGGGUUGGUGACGCCACGCAGAGAACGACAGGGACGCACUUGUAGGGGAUGAUCGGUGAUGGCUCUGCGAUGAAUGGGGCGCAGGGCUCCUCCUUAUACGGGUUGAUGUCGAUGGUAAAGCUAUGCGUUUCCCUCACAAUGAUGGACGAGACGAAAAACGUACAAAUUGGUAGGUAGUAAAAAUCGGCUAAAAAUAAUAGUUUACCAAUAAGGGCUGGGAAUAACAAAACAAGAUGUACAAACCUCUAAAGAUCGUAAACGAGCCAAAGUAUCAAGCCGAUGACCAAUGUGCUUCCAAAAUCCGCUUGGCGAAACUCCAAAAAUAUUACCACGAGAACCAAAAACGUCUCCAAAAUUGGGUAACAAUUAGAAAAUAUUUACUUCAAUGUGUGAAGAUCCUUAUAAUUAAUUAAGAUGAAAUUUUUACACAAAUGAAGAUUGGCACACUGGACACGACCAUGCCAGAAUCAAAAGUGACC